CAGCCGUAAACUAUGCGCGUUAGGUGUGUCGGUAACCACGUGUUACUGAUGUGCCGAAGAGAAAUCGUGAAACGCACCACCUGGGAAGUACGGUCGCAAGGCUGAAACUUAAAGGAAUUGGCGGGGGAGCACCACAACAGGUGGAGCCUGCGGUUUAAUUGGAUUCAACGCCGGACAUCUCACCGGAUAAGACAGCUGAAUGAUUGUCAAUCUGAAGGUUUUACAUGACUAGCUGAGAGGUGGUGCAUGGCGUAGACGUCU
Molecule: ribosomal RNA, 261 nt
Filed under: uncultured archaeon
Lineage: Archaea
Description: partial 16S ribosomal RNA
Rfam family: Archaeal small subunit ribosomal RNA
Source: RNAcentral